UUUAAAUGUAAAUUUUACUUAGUAAAUUGUGGAGUGUACUGUAAUGAUAAGUUUUCAUCUGACAUAUAAUUGACUUUAAAUUAUUUAUUGUGGCUUUAAGCUCAAAAAGAGUUACUAAUUACUUCCUUUUUUAAUUGUACAGGAUCAAGAAAGCUGUGGCGUUACAAGAAAGCACUUGUCCCGAAAGUCCUUCUCCAAACUGACUCUGUUGAGAAAACGGCACCAAACUGACUCUGUUGAGAAAACGGCACCAAACUGACUCUGUUGAGAAAACGGCACCAAACUGACUCUGUUGAGAAAACGGCACCAAACUGACUCUGUUGAGAAAACGGCACCAAACUGACUCUGUUGAGAAAACGGCACCAAACUGACUCUGUUGAGAAAACGGCACCAAACUGACUCUGUUGAGAAAACGGCACCAAACUUACUCUGUUGAGAAAACGGCACCAAACUGACUCUGUUGAGAAAACGGCACUAAACUGACACUGUUGUGAAAACAGAACAAUUUGAGAUAAUAUUGUUGUAAAACCAUAACCAUUUGAGAUCAGACACUGUUGUGAAUACAAAACACCCUUUGAAGACAGACAUUUGUGAAAACUGAACCCCCUGAAAACGGAACCCUUUAAAAACACUGUUGUGACAAGAUAAUCCUUUGAACAGACCUUUUUCCUUAUUUAUCCUGUUAGUAUUUUCUUGUGAUUUGUUUCAGUUCUGGUGAUCUAAAGAAGCAGACUAUCUGAAGCUGAAGACCAUCUCCAUCUGGACCUUAUCUGCAUUUGAAGACUGUCAAACAUCCACAUCAUUACAUUUAGUUAAUUUCCUUGCCAUUUUAUUGCUUAUUCAUAAUUUUAAUCCAACUUUCACGUAUUAACGACUGCACAUUGCUUGUGGAUUGGAUUCCUUCUGUUUUUGAAUUAUAAGUACACUUUAUUGUUAUAUUAAAUAUUGUGUGUG
Astyanax mexicanus (Mexican tetra) is the source of this 954-nucleotide long non-coding RNA. RefSeq lists it as uncharacterized. The record is from RefSeq and is a predicted model, not a curated record. Lineage: Eukaryota; Metazoa; Chordata; Actinopteri; Characiformes; Acestrorhamphidae. The transcript has 2 exons.